This 436-nucleotide long non-coding RNA is filed under the name Ananas comosus (pineapple). RNAcentral's name for it is "long non-coding RNA (ACOM_LNC038833)". The record is from RNAcentral. Lineage: Eukaryota; Viridiplantae; Streptophyta; Magnoliopsida; Poales; Bromeliaceae.
AUUUUCUUCGCCCUUACCGACGAUAUGGUCGCCGCAAAGCGCCUACUUUUGCACGCUCGGUAGACUAACUCUUCUUGAUUAGGCUCACGAAAAGUGAUCACCUUGCUUUCACAAUCUAUGACCGUAUAGUACUUGAAGAGCCAGUUGGUCCCCAAGAUAACAUCGAAUCCCCACAUCUGAUCUAUCUAUCGGCAUAAUCCAAUCGCCUAUUUGCACUGGACACGCUAAACACUCAUUAUGGACACUGAAUGAAUGUUCUGGGGCAUUCACCCACCAGUAGUCCUCGUUAUAUGCCAUCUCUAUGCCAUGAGUUUGAGCAAAUGAUGCGCUAAUGAAUGAAUGAGAUGCGCCUGUAUCAAAUACUGCUCUAGCUCUAGUGCCUUUAAUCACAAUUAUACCUGCCACGACGUCGUCGUGUGCUGCAGGCUGCUGCUCC